AUGAUCAGUCGGCUGCUGAAGGGAAACGUUCUCCAAAAACAACCAUUAGAAGAUUCAAAAAGUAUAGAUAUAGGGCAAAGGCGGUGGUGGCUUGUACUCCAAAGGGUGCAGCACACUGUACACCCCAGCAGGCAGCAGCUGUUCACCUCUUUUGCUCACGCCGUCACGCUCCAGCCUCCAAUGGCCUCCGCCAGCGGUCGCCUCCGCGACCUCAAGGCCUUCGACGACACCAAGGCCGGCGUCAAAGGACUCAUCGACGCAGGCAUCACCACCGUCCCGGCCAUCUUCCGCCACCCGCCGGAUCACCCUGGCGCGCGCCCACGACGAAGACCGCUUCGCGAUCCCAGUCAUAGACCUUGCUGGAGUGACGACGGGGUCGUCCAGGCGGGCCGAGCUGGUGGCCGAGGUGAAGGCAGCCGUUAA
RNAcentral lists this ribosomal RNA (423 nucleotides) under Triticum aestivum (bread wheat). RNAcentral describes it as "partial small subunit ribosomal RNA". The record is from RNAcentral. Lineage: Eukaryota; Viridiplantae; Streptophyta; Magnoliopsida; Poales; Poaceae.